CCACAUGAAAGAUUUUUGUGGUCUGGCCUGCUCACUGAGAAGAAAGCUUAAAGAGCCGCGGUAUUCUGACCGUGCAAAGGUAGCAUAAUCAUUAGUUUUUUAAUUGAAAACUUGUAUGAAUGGUUAGACAAAAGAAACUCUGUCUCGUUUGUUAGACUUGAAUUUAACUUUUAAGUGAAAAGGCUUAAAUUUUUUAAGGGGACGAUAAGACCCUAUAAAGCUUUAUAAUGAAAUAUUAUUUUUUAAAAUAACUUAUAAAAUGAAAUAAUUAUAACCUUAUUAUGUUGGGGUGACAUUGAUAAAAAUAUAUUUAACUGUCAAAAUAAAUAUACAUAAAUUCAUGAAUAAAUAUAAAUUGAUCCUAAUUAAAGAUUAAAAGAUUAAGUUACUUUAGGGAUAACAGCGUUAUUUCUUUUGAGAGUUCUUAUCGAAAAAGAAGUUUGCGACCUCGAUGUUGAAUUAAAGAAUCUUUUUAGUGCAGCCGCUUAAAAAAGAAGGUCUGUUCGACCUUUAAAUCUUUACAUGAUUUGAGUUCAAACCGGUGUAAGC
RNAcentral lists this ribosomal RNA (549 nucleotides) under Leucippa pentagona. Its description in RNAcentral is "partial 16S ribosomal RNA". It matches the Rfam family "Bacterial large subunit ribosomal RNA", at positions 1831 to 2626 of the family's 2925-position model. The record is from RNAcentral. Lineage: Eukaryota; Metazoa; Arthropoda; Malacostraca; Decapoda; Epialtidae.